UGCAUGUGUGUGUGCAUGUGUACAUGCAGCUAGAGUGCAUGUGAAGAGGCCACAGCCUGCCCGGGCUGUCAUUUGGGAGACUGGCUGUGGGUUUGGAGACGCCUCCGCCAACUCUAGAGACACCACCACCACCAUGGUCUUAUCAUAAAAGAUCAGUGGCACACAAGCAAAAUUUCUCUUUGCUAUUUGAAUUCAUCAAGGUGUAUAGAUCAAGAUGUCCAUUGACUGGAGAAAAAGAUCAAUCUAUGAAGUAUUAAAUUUUCGUGCUCCACUUGGAAAGAU
Molecule: long non-coding RNA, 282 nt
Organism: Hemicordylus capensis (graceful crag lizard)
Lineage: Eukaryota; Metazoa; Chordata; Lepidosauria; Squamata; Cordylidae
Exons: 3
Source: RefSeq, a predicted model, not a curated record